Molecule: ribosomal RNA, 302 nt
Filed under: uncultured bacterium
Lineage: Bacteria
Description: partial 16S ribosomal RNA
Rfam family: Bacterial small subunit ribosomal RNA
Source: RNAcentral
GCAGCCGCCACGGUAAUACGUAGGUGGCAAGCGUUGUCCGGAAUUAUUGGGCGUAAAGCGCGCGCAGGUGGUUUAAUAAGUCUGAUGUGAAAGCCCACGGCUCAACCGUGGGGGGUCAUUGGAAACUGUUAAACUUGAGUGCAGGAGAGGAGAGUGGAAUUCCACGUGUAGCGGUGAAAUGCGUAGAGAUGUGGAGGAACACCAGUGGCGAAGGCGACUCUCUGGUCUGUAACUGACGCUGAGGAGCGAAAGCGUGGGGAGCGAACAGGAUUAGAUACCCGUGUAGUCCCUGUCUCUUAUAA